This 192-nucleotide non-coding RNA is filed under the name Enterococcus sp. RNAcentral's name for it is "T-box sequence". It matches the Rfam family "T-box leader". Rfam says of the family: Uncharged tRNA acts as the effector for transcription antitermination of genes in the T-box leader family. T-boxes are found upstream of many aminoacyl-tRNA synthetase genes and some amino acid biosynthetic genes usually in Gram-positive bacteria. The anticodon of a specific tRNA base pairs to a specifier sequence within the T-box motif, and the NCCA acceptor tail of the tRNA base pairs to a conserved bulge in the T-box antiterminator hairpin. The record is from RNAcentral. Lineage: Bacteria; Bacillati; Bacillota; Bacilli; Lactobacillales; Enterococcaceae.
UUGUUUGCCCGGAAGAGGAGUAGUAGAAACGAACGCAUUUCAGAGAGCGCACGGUGCUGUGAGUGUGCAUGCGGAAAAUUCGAACUUACCUUGGAGCAAGAUCAAAUGAUCCGGUUAAAGACCGUUAUUUCUUUUGAGGUCUGCCAUCUGGCAGAUAAAAAUAGGUGGUACCACGUUGAUAACGUCCUAUGA